RNAcentral lists this ribosomal RNA (433 nucleotides) under uncultured bacterium. RNAcentral's name for it is "partial 16S ribosomal RNA". It matches the Rfam family "Bacterial small subunit ribosomal RNA", at positions 29 to 507 of the family's 1533-position model. The record is from RNAcentral.
AACGAACGCUGGCGGCAUGCCUAACACAUGCAAGUCGAACGAAACCUUCGGGUCUAGUGGCGCACGGGUGCGUAACGCGUGGGAACCUGCCCUUAGGUUCGGAAUAACUCCCCGAAAGGGGUGCUAAUACCGGAUAAUGUCUUCGGACCAAAGAUUUAUCGCCUUUGGAUGGGCCCGCGUUGGAUUAGCUAGUUGGUAGGGUAAAAGCCUACCAAGGCGACGAUCCAUAGCUGGUCUGAGAGGAUGAUCAGCCACACUGGGACUGAGACACGGCCCAGACUCCUACGGGAGGCAGCAGUGGGGAAUAUUGGACAAUGGGCGAAAGCCUGAUCCAGCUAUGCCGGGUGAGUGAUGAAGGCCUGAGGGUUGUAAAGCUCUUUUACCUGGGAUGAUAAUGACAGUACCGGGAGAAUAAGCCCCGGCUAACUCCGUG